Molecule: ribosomal RNA, 481 nt
Filed under: uncultured bacterium
Lineage: Bacteria
Description: partial 16S ribosomal RNA
Rfam family: Bacterial small subunit ribosomal RNA
Source: RNAcentral
AUUGAACGCUGGCGGCAUGCCUUACACAUGCAAGUCGAACGGUAACGGGCCUUCGGGUGCCGACGAGUGGCGAACGGGUGAGUAAUACAUCGGAACGUGCCCGAUCGUGGGGGAUAACGAGGCGAAAGCUUUGCUAAUACCGCAUACGAUCUACGGAUGAAAGCAGGGGACCGCAAGGCCUUGCGCGGACGGAGCGGCCGAUGGCAGAUUAGGUAGUUGGUGGGAUAAAAGCUUACCAAGCCGACGAUCUGUAGCUGGUCUGAGAGGAUGAUCAGCCACAGGGGGACUGGAAACCGGCCCAGACCCCAAGGGGGGGCCGCAGGGGGGAAUUUUGGACAAGGGGGGAAAGCCUGACCCACCCCUGCCGGGGGAAGGAGGAAGGCUUUCGGGUUGUAAACUUUUUUUGUGGGGAACAAAAAGCCUUUUUUUAAAACAGGGGGGUCAGGAGGGUACCUAAAAAAAAAGCACCGGCAAACUAGGG